AGGGAUGACGGCCUUCGGGUUGUAAACCUCUUUCAGCAGGGAAGAAGCGAAAGUGACGGUACCUGCAGAAGAAGCGCCGGCUAACUACGUGCCAGCAGCCGCGGUAAUACGUAGGGCGCGAGCGUUGUCCGGAAUUAUUGGGCGUAAAGAGCUCGUAGGCGGCUUGUCGCGUCGGUUGUGAAAGUCGGGGGCUCAACCCUCGAAUGCCGGCCGAUACUGUCAAGCUAGAGUCCGGAAGAGGCGAGUGGAAUUCCUGGUGUAGCGGUGAAAUGCGCAGAUAUCAGGAGGAACACCAAUGGCGAAGGCAGCUCGCUGGGACGGUACUGACGCUGAGACGCGAAAGCGUGGGGAGCAAACAGGAUUAGAUACCCUGGUAGUCCACGCCGUAAACGAUGGGCACUAGGUGUGGGAGGUGUCGACUCCUUCCGUGCCGAAGCUAACGCAUUAAGUGCCCCGCCUGGGGAGUACGGCCGCAAGGCUA
Molecule: ribosomal RNA, 481 nt
Filed under: uncultured bacterium
Lineage: Bacteria
Description: bacterial SSU rRNA
Rfam family: Bacterial small subunit ribosomal RNA
Source: RNAcentral